RNAcentral lists this unclassified non-coding RNA (373 nucleotides) under soil metagenome. RNAcentral's name for it is "partial contains 5.8S ribosomal RNA, internal transcribed spacer 2, and large subunit ribosomal RNA". The stretch from base 1 to 121 matches the Rfam family "5.8S ribosomal RNA", at positions 35 to 154 of the family's 154-position model. The record is from RNAcentral.
GAUGAAGAACGCAGCGAAAUGCGAUAAGUAAUGCGAAUUGCAGAAUUCCAGUGAGUCAUCGAAUCUUUGAACGCACAUUGCGCCCUUUGGUAUUCCGAAGGGCAUGCCUGUUCGAGCGUCAUUAUCACCCCUCAAGCCCUCGGCUUGGUGUUGGACGGUUUGGUGGAGGCCCCCUCGGGGGCUCCUGCCCCUCCCAAAGACAAUGACGGCGGCCUCGUUGGACCCCCGGUACACUGAGUUCUUCACGGGACACGUAUCGGACACAUGGGUUUACUGGACACGGUCUGCCUCCCCUCAGGGAGAAUCUUUCUAAGGUUGACCUCGGAUCAGGUAGGGAUACCCGCUGAACUUAAGCAUAUCAAUAAGCGGAGGA